This 404-nucleotide ribosomal RNA is filed under the name uncultured bacterium. RNAcentral describes it as "bacterial SSU rRNA". It matches the Rfam family "Bacterial small subunit ribosomal RNA", at positions 355 to 774 of the family's 1533-position model. The record is from RNAcentral.
UGGGGAAUCUUGCACAAUGGGGAAACCCUGGAUGCAGCGACGCCGCGUGAGCGAUGAAGCCCUUCGGGGUGUAAAGCUCUUUCGGCUGGAACGAUAAUGACGGUACCAGCAGAAGAAGCUGCGGCUAACUACGUGCCAGCAGCCGCGGUAAUACGUAGGCAGCGAGCGUUGUUCGGAGUUACUGGGCGUAAAGAGUGCGUAGGCGGUGCGGUAAGUCUGGUGUGAAAUCUCCCGGCUCAACUGGGAGGGUGCGCCGGAAACUGCCGUGCUUGGAGUGUGGGAGAGGUAAGCGGAAUUCCUGGUGUAGCGGUGAAAUGCGUAGAUAUCAGGAGGAACACCUGCGGUGUAAGACAGCUUACUGGACCAUAACUGACGCUGAGGCACGAAAGCGUGGGUAGCAAACA